ACAGGGAUUGCCCUAGUAACGGCGAGUGAAGCGGCAACAGCUCAAAUUUGAAAUCUGGCUUCGGCCCGAGUUGUAAUUUGUAGAGGAAGCUUUUGGUGAGGCACCUUCUGAGUCCCCUGGAACGGGGCGCCAUAGAGGGUGAGAGCCCCGUAUAGUCGGAUGCCGAUCCAAUGUAAAGCUCCUUCGACGAGUCGAGUAGUUUGGGAAUGCUGCUCAAAAUGGGAGGUAAAUUUCUUCUAAAGCUAAAUACCGGCCAGAGACCGAUAGCGCACAAGUAGAGUGAUCGAAAGAUGAAAAGCACUUUGAAAAGAGGGUUAAAUAGCACGUGAAAUUGUUGAAAGGGAAGCGUUUGUGACCAGACUUGCGCCGUUCCGAUCAUCCGGUGUUCUCACCGGUGCACUCGGGACGGCUCAGGCCAGCAUCGGUUUUGGCGGGGGGAUAAAGGUCCGGGGAACGUAGCUCCUCCGGGAGUGUUAUAGCCCCGGGCGUAAUGCCCUCGCCGGGACCGAGGUUCGCGCAUCUGCAAGGAUGCUGGCGUAAUGGUCAUCAACGACCCGUCUUGAAACACGGACCAAGGAGUCAAGGUUUUGCGCGAGUGUUUGGGUGUAAAACCCGCACGCGUAAUGAAAGUGAACGUAGGUGAGAGCUUCGGCGCAUCAUCGACCGAUCCUGAUGUAUUCGGAUGGAUUUGAGUAAGAGCGUUAAGCCUUGGACCCGAAAGAUGGUGAACUAUGCUUGGAUAGGGUGAAGCCAGAGGAAACUCUGGUGGAGGCUCGCAGCGGUUCUGACGUGCAAAUCGAUCGUCAAAUCUGAGCAUGGGGGCGAAAGACUAAUCGA
RNAcentral lists this ribosomal RNA (837 nucleotides) under Neurospora crassa. RNAcentral's name for it is "eukaryotic LSU rRNA". It matches the Rfam family "Eukaryotic large subunit ribosomal RNA", at positions 68 to 938 of the family's 3401-position model. The record is from RNAcentral. Lineage: Eukaryota; Fungi; Ascomycota; Sordariomycetes; Sordariales; Sordariaceae.